This 346-nucleotide unclassified non-coding RNA is filed under the name uncultured Umbelopsis. RNAcentral describes it as "sequence contains ITS1". The stretch from base 1 to 105 matches the Rfam family "5.8S ribosomal RNA", at positions 50 to 154 of the family's 154-position model. The record is from RNAcentral. RNAcentral also lists the same sequence under 1 other name. Lineage: Eukaryota; Fungi; Mucoromycota; Umbelopsidomycetes; Umbelopsidales; Umbelopsidaceae.
GAAAUGCGAUACGUAAUGUGAAUUGCAGAAUUCAGUGAAUCAUCGAAUCUUUGAACGCACAUUGCACUCCUUGGUAUUCCGAGGAGUAUGCCUGUUUCAGUAUCAUGAGCACUCUCACACCUAACCUUUGGGUUUAUGGCGUGGAAUUGGAAUGCGCCGACUGUCAUGGUUGGCCCUUCUAAAAUGUAGUUCUUGGCUGUCACCUAAUACAGCAGUUUGGCCUAAUAGUUUUGGCAUUCAUUGUCAAAUCUUUGGCUAACAUUUGCUCCAGGAGUCAGUCUUGAUAAUACAGAAAACUCAUUCAAAUUUUGAUCUGAAAUCAGGUAGGGCUACCCGCUGAACUUAA